This 453-nucleotide ribosomal RNA is filed under the name Triticum aestivum (bread wheat). RNAcentral's name for it is "partial small subunit ribosomal RNA". Lineage: Eukaryota; Viridiplantae; Streptophyta; Magnoliopsida; Poales; Poaceae. The record is from RNAcentral.
AUGGCAGGAGGGGCGAACCUCCAUGGGACGGAUCGCCACCAAGGAGAUGGAGCUCCUUCUCCAUCCAAUUUGGCCAUCUCCGGCCGCCUCCUCCAGAUCCUCGCCGACCACGGGCCCCUCACCGUCGGCAACACCUGGAACCAUGCCAAGGUCACCCAUCCUCGAGGAGCAGAAGGAGGGACGCAUCUAGCUGGCCAUCAAGGGCCUGCUCUGCUCCUCUUCUUCCUUGACCAUCGGUACCACCACGUUCUCGGGCUUCCAAGGCGCGCCAGCACACCGCCGCCAUGCCUCCUCUUCUCUCCGGGCUCGGACCAAUCGCUCGACCCUUCAGCACAAGCCCUGCAGCAGCCGACGUGGGUUCAAGUGUCCCCUCCCCUGAUGGCUAUAAAUUUACCAUGCUCUGCUAAUUUCUAUGCGAGCACUGUUAGGCAUUCGUUUGUAUUUGCAAAUUAG